UACGUAGGGGGCAAGCGUUGUCCGGAUUUAUUGGGCGUAAAGAGCGUGUAGGCGGCCUGACAGGUCUGCUGUGAAAACUCGAGGCUCAACCUCGAGAUGUCGGCGGAAACCGUCUGGCUAGAGUCCGGAAGAGGAGAGUGGAAUUCCUGGUGUAGCGGUGAAAUGCGUAGAUAUGUGGAGGAACACCGAUGGCGAAGGCAGCCCCCUGGGUUAACACUGACGCUCAUGCACGAAAGCGUGGGGAGCAAACAGG
Molecule: ribosomal RNA, 253 nt
Filed under: uncultured bacterium
Lineage: Bacteria
Description: partial 16S ribosomal RNA
Rfam family: Bacterial small subunit ribosomal RNA
Source: RNAcentral